Molecule: ribosomal RNA, 910 nt
Filed under: uncultured bacterium
Lineage: Bacteria
Description: bacterial SSU rRNA
Rfam family: Bacterial small subunit ribosomal RNA
Source: RNAcentral
ACGCUGGCGGCAUGCUUUACACAUGCAAGUCGGACGGCAGCACAGAGAAGCUUGCUUCUUGGGUGGCGAGUGGCGAACGGGUGAGUAACAUAUCGGAACGUACCGAGUAAUGGGGGAUAACUAAUCGAAAGAUUAGCUAAUACCGCAUAUUCUCUGAGGAGGAAAGCAGGGGACCUUCGGGCCUUGCGUUAUUCGAGCGGCCGAUAUCUGAUUAGCUAGUUGGUGGGGUAAAGGCCUACCAAGGCGACGAUCAGUAGCGGGUCUGAGAGGAUGAUCCGCCACACUGGGACUGAGACACGGCCCAGACUCCUACGGGAGGCAGCAGUGGGGAAUUUUGGACAAUGGGCGCAAGCCUGAUCCAGCCAUGCCGCGUGUCUGAAGAAGGCCUUCGGGUUGUAAAGGACUUUUGUCAGGGAAGAGAAGGCUGUCGCUAAUACCGACAGUUGAUGACGGUACUUGAAGAAUAAGCACCGGCUAACUACGUGCCAGCAGCCGCGGUAAUACGUAGGGUGCGAGCGUUAAUCGGAAUUACUGGGCGUAAAGCGAGCGCAGACGGUUACUUAAGCAGGAUGUGAAAUCCCCGGGCUUAACCUGGGAACUGCGUUCUGAACUGGGUGACUAGAGUGUGUCAGAGGGAGGUAGAAUUCCACGUGUAGCAGUGAAAUGCGUAGAGAUGUGGAGGAAUACCGAUGGCGAAGGCAGCCUCCUGGGAUGACACUGACGUUCAUGCUCGAAAGCGUGGGUAGCAAACAGGAUUAGAUACCCUGGUAGUCCACGCCCUAAACGAUGUCAAUUAGCUGUUGGGCAACUUGAUUGCUUAGUAGCGUAGCUAACGCGUGAAAUUGACCGCCUGGGGAGUACGGUCGCAAGAUUAAAACUCAAAGGAAUUGACGGGGACCCGCACAAGCGG